AUUGAACGCUGGCGGCAGGCCUAACACAUGCAAGUCGAACGAGUGGUGGACGGGUGAGUAAUGUCUGGGAAACUGCCUGAUGGAGGGGGAUAACUACUGGAAACGGUAGCUAAUACCGCAUACCAGCAGAUGUGCCCAGUUGGGAUUAGCUAGUUGGAGGGGUAACGGCUCACCAGGGCGACGAUCCCUAGCUGUUCUGAGAGGAUGACCAGCCAGACUGGAACUGCGACACGGUCCAGACUCCUACGGGAGGAAGCAGUGGGGAAUAUUGCAUAAUGGGCGCAAGCCUGAUGUAGCCAUGCCGUGUGUAUGAAGAAGGCCUUCGGGUUGUAAAGUACGUUCAGCGGGGAGGCGUUACCCGCAGAAGAAGCACCGGCUAACUCCGUGCCAGCCGCCGCGGUAAUAC
RNAcentral lists this ribosomal RNA (406 nucleotides) under uncultured bacterium. RNAcentral describes it as "partial 16S ribosomal RNA". It matches the Rfam family "Bacterial small subunit ribosomal RNA", at positions 30 to 526 of the family's 1533-position model. The record is from RNAcentral.